This is a long non-coding RNA of Psammomys obesus (fat sand rat), 530 nucleotides long. RefSeq lists it as uncharacterized. The transcript has 3 exons. NCBI's taxonomy places the organism in Eukaryota, Metazoa, Chordata, Mammalia, Rodentia, Muridae. The record is from RefSeq and is a predicted model, not a curated record.
GACUCUGAGUGGCGGCCUGCUUUCGAGACUGGCUUGUCCCAAGUUCACUGAAGUGACUGCUGAGCAGUUAGGCUUGUGGAGCCCUGGAGGAAGAGUGCAUCUGGCGCCUGAGGCGAGACUCUCCUUGGCAGGGACCUAAAUUCCAGGGUCCUGACUCCCUCUUCGGGCCUCAAGCAUCUGGUACACAUACUAGCCACACAUACAUGCAGAUCAAAGCUGCUAUCUCUGGUGUGGAAUCCACUUCAGAAUCACCUGUUUACCUGCUGAACAACGCAUUAUUCUGCUGAACAAUGCAUUACUUCUAAAGGCAGAACAUACCUGUUCUGACAAGCUAUGCCAACCUCAACACCCACCACAGUGCUGGUGAAAAGCGGUAAUCAAUAGUUACUAGAAGAAUGAAUGGAUCAGCAGCAACUCUCUUCUACUUUUUCCUGGAUCUGUGGGAAGCCCUCUGCAAACAUUGCUAGACUUAGAGGAGGACCCGGACUCUGGUCCAUACUGCCUUCCCCAAGGAGACUCCUACCUGACUG